Molecule: long non-coding RNA, 500 nt
Filed under: Capra hircus (goat)
Lineage: Eukaryota; Metazoa; Chordata; Mammalia; Artiodactyla; Bovidae
Description: lncRNA (ENSCHIG00010002850.1)
Source: RNAcentral
AUGUGUGCAAGUGAGGACAGGGGCUUCCAAACGUUGUUCCAGCCCCCAGAUCCCAAUGGAAAGGAAAGAUGGGGUGAGCCACAUAGCUUCGCCCACCGGCAUGUGCUCAGAGGCUCUGAAGUUGUGAGGACAGGGAGCGCCUUUCACACCUGCGAUGGAUGUUUCUUCGCUCUUGCUCCUUCCCCCACCACACAUUUCUGUUGGCUGGUCCAGUUAUCUGGUCCUUAUUAUUUGAUGCUUGCUCAGAAGUGGGGUGGGCAAUGAGAGGCUAGAAGAGCUGUGGUCCUGCUUCAGCCUCAGACCCAGCCAAGCCCUGUAUCUCUGGUCUCAGGAAUGGAGUUUCUUCAAUGAUCUUGCACCUCACCCAGAUGCAGCAGUCCUCUAAUGGAUAGAAACAUCACUUUUACUUGAUUAAGUACUGAAUAAUAAAGUCAUUUUAAUGGUAUAACCUUCAGUUCAGUUGCUCAGUUGUGUCCGACUCUUUGGGACCCCAUGAAUCG